AGCCGAGGAAAGAACUUCACAACCAACUUUUGUGAGGCCACAGCUUGCUAACCUGAAGUGGAAACAGAUAAAAAAAAGGACCCACUCAUCUGUUUCUAAAUGUCCUGCCUUACUCCUUGAGGAAGUUAUCUGAUACUUAUAUAUUGGCCAAUUUUCCUGUAGAAUUAACCUCAACAGACAUUUAACUUGUGAAUUCCAUUGCAUUUAGGUACACGAGAGAAUGAAACAAAAUGGGAGAGUCUAGAAAGUAUGAAAAAAGAAAAAAGUAUAAAGCCAAACACAAGAAGAUAGGACUGGGGAAAUAGCUCAGUUGGUAGGCUCUUGCCAUACAAGUACUAGUUUCCCCAUUUUGAUCACCAGCACUAUGUAACAAGAGUAAAGCUCCAAACCAGAGUUUCAGAGAACUGCUAUAACAGCAACAGCAGAACAGCAGCAGCAGCAGCAGCAGCAGCAGCAGCAGCAGCAGCAGCAGCAGCAGCAGCAGCAGCAGCAACAACAACAAUAAAAGGGCUACCAUAUAGCUUUGGAUUUGUCAUUUGACAACUGGCAUUCUCAACUAAUUUGACAUUACAGGAAAUGAAAAUGGUAUAUGUGCCAGUGUAUGUACUCAUGUGGACGCCAGAAGACAAUGUCAGGUAUUGUUCCUUGAGUGUAGUAUUUUGUUUUUUUAGACAAGAUUUCCUCGUGGCCUGGAAAUUGCCAAAUAAGGUAGGCUAGCUGGCUAAUGAGUUCCAGGAAUCUGCUGGAGUCUGUCUGUCCUGGCAUUGUGAUUACACAUGCAUGUCACUCUGCAAUGAGGGUUUAGGUGUUGAAAAUGUCUUCAUGUUUAAGGCAGGUGCUUUAUCAACUGAUCGGUCUCUAAAAAGUCCUUUGUGUUGUAAUGAAAUCGAAAUGAGGCUGGGUGUUGUUUAAUGGUAUUUUUAUCUAGUAUGUUUUAAGAUGUUGGGGUUUUGAGUCCCAACUCUGGGGAAGGGAAAUUUAAUAAAUGAAACUGCAUAGUGGUGGGCUAUGGAGACCUUAAUUUGUGGAAACCAUUCAAGAGCUUCCUAUUUACAAACAACUUAGACAAAUGGUGAGUCAGACAGAGAUAAUGCUCAUUAAACUGGUCACAUCUAAUAAGCUGUGACAACUGGCAACCAUAUGAGCAGCACUCAGUGCAUGAUAGCUAUUGUAUGAUGUAUAUUUGAAUCAAUUAUCAUUUUCUAGACAAACACCUCUGUGUCUCAGUUUUGAAUUUUAGGAAUUGUAACAUCACACCUAUGUUCACAAUUCUCUUGCCAUCAGAAUUAAACUGGAUAUAAUGUUAAGCAUCUUGUUUACCAUAUAAUUGUAUGCCACAUAGUAAGUUUUUACUUUUAGUUAAAUAUAGAAACUUUAUAGUUCAUAUCUUCUCACAGAAAAGCCAACUUCAUGAAAGGGAAAGAGUAAAUUCAUACGUAGAACAGAAGAGUUAAGGGGGAUAGAGGACAGGUAGAUGACCUGUGCAUACCAGCCUCAGCAAGAGAUUUCUAGAUGGAUUAUCUAAAAAUAACUUCGUAUGUUAGCUAAGCAAUGUUCUUUCUGUAAAUCUACUUCCUUCGUUACCAGUAAACUCAACACUUACCAAAUUUCAGCUGUGGGGUCCAACAUAUUUCUCAAGUCUGCCCUUGCUGUCAGUCUCACAGUCUGUAGAGAGUGGCAGUGCUUAAGACAGUAUGAAUAUAUGAGCAAUUUGGAUUCUUCAUCAACCUUUACCAUAAUCUUUUGAAAAUACGUCAGUGCCUGAGUGAUGAAUUCUUCAUCUUGAGUUUCAUAUAUACAGUGAAGCAAGUCUUGAAUUCUCAGCUGUGAUAGAGGAGAGUCAUCCUUUUCUAGUGCUUCCAGACACACAAGUAACUCUUCCCUUACCGCCCUGGAUAUUGUAAGGUUGAAAGUUUCCUCCAGUUGUUGUACUCUGUCUUUAUUCAGUAGACCAAACAAAAAGCAUUUCAUCUGUUCCAAAUGAGGGUCAUGAAAAUGGUUGCUUUCAAGCAACAGAUGCACGUUUUCGAAAGGUUCUAAGGGAUGGUCUUUUUCUUCUGGAUUCUCUCUCAGCAAGUAAAACAGAGCUGCAAAAUACUCCUGAACUUGGAGGUGAGUGAAUGUGUAGCAGUUUUCACACUCAGUGUCCUGCUGAAGAACAUUUGCCUCUAGGAAAAGUGAGAGGUCCUCUCUGGUUAGCUCAUGCUUUCGGAGAUUUUGCUGGUAGAGCACAUGCUUCAUAGUCCAAAUGCCUUCAACAGCGGCCUGGCAUAGGCUCCUUAGUAGUGUUUCAUUGGGCAGAGUAACAGAGCUCCCAGCUAUGCGUGGAAAUAAGCUGCAGAUAUAAUAUGUGAACAGAGCUGUACUGGUCUGGCAGGUCAUUUCAACAUUGCCACCUUUCUCCACUUGCUCCUUCAGGAAAGUACAGAUCAUCUGGCACACAUGGCAUACAUGGCACAUGUUGAAAAGCUUUGCAUUCAUUCUUAUUGAACAAACUGCAUUCAUAGCCCAUGUCUUAUCUUUUAACAAGUGAUGAAUAUAGUCAAUCCUUGAACUCCUAGACAGUCCUGGUAGCUUUACGCGAUGAGGUUUCUGCAACAAAGGCACUAGUCGUUUCCAGGCUGUUGUUCUUGUUGUUACUAAUAAGUAGGACUCAGGAAGCAUCACUUUCCUCAGCAAACUACUAAUGAGAAAAGACACUGGGUGCUUCUGGGUCCAAUCUCUACACAGUGCGAACUCUGGCUCUUCAAAGGAGAAAUCCAGCUCAUCAAAACUAUCAAGUAUAAAAAGGAGACUGCUGGGUUUGCACAGGAUCUGUUCAAUGGGGCCCUCGCUACUAGGCCAGUGCUUUGAUAUUAGCUGAGCAAAGUUUUUCUCCUUCUCUUGGCUAAUUUCUCUCCCACUGAGAUAAAAAACAUGGGUAAACUGCUGAUAGAGAUUGCCAUCUGCCCAUUCUAAGACUGCCUUUUUCAACAACGUUGUCUUCCCAAUUCCAGCAGCUCCAUAAAGGACUACCGUUUGUGGAGACUUGGAAGUUUGGAUAUUCACAUCAAAUAUAUGCUCCAACAGCUUUUGGUCUUUGUGAGUAGUUACACAAUUUAAAGUUGCAGAUUCUCCAAGCAAAGAAGUCUUAUCCCAUAUAAUAAAAAAAUUUUCCUUUAUUAUAGUUCUGUAGUCUAUUCCAUAAUUUAAGUCAGUUAGAAUGGAAAAAAAACCAAAGACACACAUGAUCAAAACUUUCUUUAAUUUCACUGUUAAGAUUCUCACUGACCACCCAUCCCCUUCUUUCUGUCCACCCUUCCCUCUUUCUCCCAGCCAUAUAGGUAUUAGGAAUCAAACCCAGAUCCUUCUGUAAGAACAAUAAGUGCUCUUAACUACUUACUCUUUCUUUAGACCUCUAGGUUAACUUUUGACUAGACAUUUCUAAAUAUUGUAUUCUUGACAUCUCAAGUUAAUAUGGUUGUGGGUUUGACUUUGGCCAUAACUCCAGUUUUAUUGACUUGGAAGGACUGAUAACAGUGGUACAUUGAAAGUAAACUGUUCAACUGAAUAAUGGUUCUUAGGAACUAACCCUGCCAUCAUAAAGUUAUAAAAAUACAUAAAAACUGACCAAAUUCUUUAUCCUCAGACACUAUUUCCUCUUUAGAAAGUUGGUCUUCCAUCUCCUCAUCCUCUGUCUUCAUGGUCUUUGUUGGUCCUGAAAUAGGUUCCAAGAGGAUCAUGAGAUUUACCAGAAAUGGAGCUUUAGGAAUGGUUAGAAUGGAGAAUUGUGCUGUGUUGUGAUUCUAUGACUAUCUGGGUGUAGUGGUGAAAUAGGUAAAUUGCUUUGGCUCCUGGCUGGUUGCAUUCACCCAAGAGCUCUGGAUUUAUGAAUGAAGGACACACACACACACACACACACACACACACACACACACACACACUCACACUCUUACACUUUGAUAUGACUUGAUUAACUCGAUGGCUGGCAACUUCUAAACUUCCCUGGAUAGCACACAAUCCCCUCCAGUAUUCCCGAGUUAACAUCUUAAAAUCUAUAGUUCAUCUCUGCUACCCCAGACCCAAUGGAGGAAUGGUCCCCAGGGCCACUUUCCCAGAACCUUAUAUGUUGUCUAUUCUCCUUGUUCCCCUGUCACUUCCUCUUCCUUUCUCUCUCUGUCCCUUGACUACGGAAUCUAAACAUCCCACGUCUAUCUUCCUGCCCAGCCCAGAAUUAUUGUACAGCCAUUCUUUAUCAUCAAUUGAAGUCCACUGUGGGCAGUGGACCUUCAGUGUUUGGAACCACUGCUUUUGGUAAGAAAUUAAGACAAAGCACUAGAACCAAUUCUGAACAUCUGCGUUUAGUUAAACUAGAGCCAAGAGCUUCAAAUUCUGCACCAGGUUAGCUGAGGAAGAAUGUGCUACAAACACUAGGUUGAACUUUUGCCUUCUUUAUGCUCUAACAGCAGGCACAAAACCACCUUGUGAAAUAGAAUCAAAGAAAAUUCAAACUGAGGGAAACCUGGAAGUGAAAAAUUUAGGAACUUAAAACAGAGACAUUAGAGGAAAGCCUCACCAACAGAAUAAGAGUUGGAAGACAUACUCAGGCAUUCAAGACAUGACAGAAGAAAUGAAUAGUUUGGUCAAAGGAAAUGCUAAAUCUAAAAAAUUCUGGUAUGCUAUCCUGAACUCUUGGACACUGUGAAAACACCAAGUCUAAGGAUAAUAGAAAUAGAAGGAGAAGGAACCCAAGUCAAAGACACAGAAAAUUUUAAAAAGUCAAAUCCUAUAGAAUAAAAAUUUACUAAUAUUCUAUCAAAAUACAAGAAGCAUAUAGGACACUAUAAAAAGACCACUCAGCACAUUAAAAUGUUAAGUGUACAGAAUAAAGGAUAUUAAAAACUUUAAGGGAAAAAGACCAAGUAACAUAAAGGCAGGCCUGACUUCUCAAUGGAGACCUUAAAAGCUGUAAGUGCCUGAACACAUGUUCCAGACUCUAAGAGACCAAAGAUGCCAGACACAGACAGAUACCUCUACACACACACACACACACACACACACACACACACACACACACACACACAGAGAGAGAGAGAGAGAGAGAGAGAGAGAGAGAGAAGAGAGAGAAGAGACCCACCCCAGACAGAGAGACCUAUACUCUGAAAGAGACAGAGACCCACCCCCUACACAGAGACAGAGAUCCAUUCCCCAUAACAGAUGGACAGAGGCUCAACAACAGACAGAUCCACCCUCUACCACGAUGAACAGAAACUCGCUCCUCUAUGACAGAUGGACAGAGACCCAACUCUGACAGACAGAUGGAAACCUAACCCCCCACGACAGACGAACACACACACACACCCUCACACGGCAGACACCUCCUACCCCCACAUAACACGGCAGACACCCCCACAUACAUGGCACCCCCCCACAGGGCAGUUACCCCUCUCCCCAUGGCAGACACCCCCUACACACA
Molecule: non-coding RNA, 5455 nt
Organism: Rattus norvegicus (Norway rat)
Lineage: Eukaryota; Metazoa; Chordata; Mammalia; Rodentia; Muridae
Source: RefSeq, a predicted model, not a curated record